AGAGUUUGAUCCUGGCUCAGAUUGAACGCUGGCGGCAGGCCUAACACAUGCAAGUCGAGCGGCAGCACGGGUACUUGUACCUGGUGGCGAGCGGCGGACGGGUGAGUAAUGCCUAGGAAUCUGCCUGGUAGUGGGGGAUAACGUUCGGAAACGGACGCUAAUACCGCAUACGUCCUACGGGAGAAAGUGGGGGAUCUUCGGACCUCACGCUAUCAGAUGAGCCUAGGUCGGAUUAGCUAGUUGGUAGGGUAAAGGCCUACCAAGGCGACGAUCCGUAACUGGUCUGAGAGGAUGAUCAGUCACACUGGAACUGAGACACGGUCCAGACUCCUACGGGAGGCAGCAGUGGGGAAUAUUGGACAAUGGGCGAAAGCCUGAUCCAGCCAUGCCGCGUGUGUGAAGAAGGUCUUCGGAUUGUAAAGCACUUUAAGUUGGGAGGAAGGGCAUUAAGUUAAUACCUUGGUGUCUUGACGUUACCGACAGAAUAAGCACCGGCUAACUCUGUGCCAGCAGCCGCGGUAAUACAGAGGGUGCAAGCGUUAAUCGGAAUUACUGGGCGUAAAGCGCGCGUAGGUGGUUCAGUAAGUUGGAUGUGAAAUCCCCGGGCUCAACCUGGGAACUGCAUCCAAAACUGCUGAGCUAGAGUAUGGUAGAGGGUGGUGGAAUUUCCUGUGUAGCGGUGAAAUGCGUAGAUAUAGGAAGGAACACCAGUGGCGAAGGCGACCACCUGGACUGAUACUGACACUGAGGUGCGAAAGCGUGGGGAGCAAACAGGAUUAGAUACCCUGGUAGUCCACGCCGUAAACGAUGUCGACUAGCCGUUGGAAUCCUUGAGAUUUUAGUGGCGCAGCUAACGCAUUAAGUCGACCGCCUGGGGAGUACGGCCGCAAGGUUAAA
This 897-nucleotide ribosomal RNA is filed under the name uncultured bacterium. RNAcentral's name for it is "bacterial SSU rRNA". It matches the Rfam family "Bacterial small subunit ribosomal RNA", at positions 8 to 898 of the family's 1533-position model. The record is from RNAcentral.